Molecule: ribosomal RNA, 1428 nt
Filed under: metagenome
Description: bacterial SSU rRNA
Rfam family: Bacterial small subunit ribosomal RNA
Source: RNAcentral
AGAGUUUGAUCCUAGCUCAGAGUGAACGCUGGCGGUGCGCCUAACACAUGCAAGUCGCGCGCCCCGCAAGGGGAGCGGCGAACGGCUGCGUAACACGUUGGUACCUGCCCCGAAUUCAGGGAUAACUCUCCGAAAGGAGAGCUAAUACCGGAUGGUCUCGCGAGAGUAAAGCUUCGGCGAUUCGGGAGGGGCCUGCGGCCUAUCAGAUAGUUGGUGAGGUAACGGCUCACCAAGUCGAUGACGGGUAGCUGAUUUGAGAGAAUGAUCAGCCAGAAUGGAACUGAGACACGGUCCAUACUCCUACGGGAGGCAGCAGUGAGGAAUCUUCCGCAAUGGGCGAAAGCCUGACGGAGCGACACCGCGUGAAGGAUGAAGUCCUUAACUGGAUGUAAACUUCUGUUCUGAGGGACGAAAUUUUUGACGGUACCUCAGGAGAAAGCAUCGGCUAACCCUGUGCCAGCAGCCGCGGUAAGACAGGGGAUGCAAGCGUUACUCGGAAUUACUGGGCGUAAAGCGUCUGUAGGUGUCUCUCCACGUCUGGUGUAAAAGCACUGGAGCUCAACUCCGUGUACGUACCGGAAACGAGAGAGAUCGAGUCACUCAGAGGUACCUGGAAUGCCGUGUGUAGGGGUAAAAUCCGUAGAUCCACGGUGGAACGCCGAAAGCGAAAGCAGGGUACUGGGGGUGUACUGACACUCAGAGACGAAAGCGUGGGGAGCAAAGGGGAUUAGAUACCCCCGUAGUCCACGCCCUAAACGAUGCGGGCUCGGUGUAGGGACGUUCAAUUGUUCCUGUGCCCAAGCUAACGCGGUAAGCCCGCCGCCUGAGAAGUACGGCCGCAAGGCUAAAACUCAAAGGAAUAGACGGGGACCCACACAAGCGGUGGAACAUGGGGUUUAAUUCGAUGGUAAACGAAGAACCUCACCCAGGCUCACAUGUCAGGAAUACAGUUGAAAGAUUGUAGUGCCGCAAGGAACCUGAACACAGGCGCUGCACGGUUGUCGUCAGCUCGUGCCUUGAGGUGUACUGUUAAGUCAGCGAACGAGCGCAACCCUCAUCCUAUGUUGUUUUUUCAUGGGAGACUGCCGCCUCCAAGGCGGAGGAAGGUGGGGAUGACGUCAAAUCAGCGUGGCCUUUAUGCCUGGGGCAACACCCAUGUUACAAUGGUAGAUACAAAGGGUAGCAAACCCGCAAGGGGGAGCUAAUCCCAUCAAAAUCUAUCUCAGUUCGGAUUGUCGGCUGCAACUCGCCGGCAUGAGGUUGGAAUCGCUAGUAACCGUAGGUCAGCGAUACUACGGUGAAUAUGUUCCUGGGUCUUGUACUCACCGCCCGUCAACUCAUGGGAGGCAGGGGCACCCGAAGGACCGUUACCUUAAUUGGGCGGUACCACGGUGACACUGCUGACUGGGAGUAAGUCGUAACAAGGUA